UACGUAGGGGGCUAGCGUUGUCCGGAAUUACUGGGCGUAAAGUGUGCGCAGGCGGCCGAGCAAGUCGAGUGUGAAAGCCCCGAGCUUAACUUGGGAACUGCGCUCGAAACUACUUGGCUAGAGUGUGGCAGAGGGAGGUGGAAUUCCACGUGUAGCGGUGAAAUGCGUAGAGAUGUGGAGGAACACCGAUGGCGAAGGCAGCCUCCUGGGCCAACACUGACGCUCAUGCACGAAAGCGUGGGGAGCAAACAGG
RNAcentral lists this ribosomal RNA (253 nucleotides) under uncultured bacterium. RNAcentral's name for it is "partial 16S ribosomal RNA". It matches the Rfam family "Bacterial small subunit ribosomal RNA", at positions 524 to 776 of the family's 1533-position model. The record is from RNAcentral.